UUAUUUCAACGGCCGCGGUACCCUAACCGUGCAAAGGUAGCACAAUCACUUGUUCUUUAAAUAAGGACUAGUAUGAACGGCACCACGAAGACCAUGCGUCUCCUUUCUCUAAUCAGUGAAACUGAUCUCCCCGUGAAGAAGCGGGGAUUAUUCUAUAAGACGAGAAGACCCUAUGAAGCUUAAAAUUUACAUCAACUGCCACCCACACACCACCUCAACCUGACAGACCUGAUUAUUAAUUUUUGGUUGGGGUGACCACGGAGCAAAAUUAAACCUCCAUAAUGAAAGGACUAAACCUCCUAAUUCAAGAAUUACACCUCUAAAAAUCAAUAUAUUGACAUAAAUUGAUCCAAACCUUUGAUCAAUGAACCAAGUUACUCUAGGGAUAACAGCGCAAUCCAUUUCAAGAGCCCCUAUCGACAAAUGGGUUUACGACCUCGAUGUUGGAUCAGGGUGUCCUAGUGGUGCAACCGCUACUAAAGGUUCGUUUGUUCAACGAUUAAAACCCUACGUGAUCUG
RNAcentral lists this ribosomal RNA (519 nucleotides) under Arthroleptis xenodactyloides (Chirinda screeching frog). Its description in RNAcentral is "partial 16S ribosomal RNA". It matches the Rfam family "Bacterial large subunit ribosomal RNA", at positions 1919 to 2607 of the family's 2925-position model. Lineage: Eukaryota; Metazoa; Chordata; Amphibia; Anura; Arthroleptidae. The record is from RNAcentral.